AGAGUUUGAUCCUGGCUCAGGACGAACGCUGGCGGCGUGCCUAAUACAUGCAAGUCGAGCGGACAGAAGGGAGCUUGCUCCCGGAUGUUAGCGGCGGACGGGUGAGUAACACGUGGGUAACCUGCCUGUAAGACUGGGAUAACUCCGGGAAACCGGAGCUAAUACCGGAUAGUUCCUUGAACCGCAUGGUUCAAGGAUGAAAGACGGUUUCGGCUGUCACUUACAGAUGGACCCGGGGCACAUUAGCUAGUUGGUGAGGUAACGCCUCACCAAGGCGACGAUGCGUAGCCGACCUGAGAGGGUGAUCGGCCACACUGGGACUGAGACACGGCCCAGACUCCUACGGGAGGCAGCAGUAGGGAAUCUUCCGCAAUGGACGAAAGUCUGACGGAGCAACGCCGCGUGAGUGAUGAAGGUUUUCGGAUCGUAAAGCUCUGUUGUUAGGGAAGAACAAGUGCAAGAGUAACUGCUUGCACCUUGACGGUACCUAACCAGAAAGCCACGGCUAACUACGUGCCAGCAGCCGCGGUAAUACGUAGGUGGCAAGCGUUGUCCGGAAUUAUUGGGCGUAAAGGGCUCGCAGGCGGUUUCUUAAGUCUGAUGUGAAAGCCCCCGGCUCAACCGGGGAGGGUCAUUGGAAACUGGGAAACUUGAGUGCAGAAGAGGAGAGUGGAAUUCCACGUGUAGCGGUGAAAUGCGUAGAGAUGUGGAGGAACACCAGUGGCGAAGGCGACUCUCUGGUCUGUAACUGACGCUGAGGAGCGAAAGCGUGGGGAGCGAACAGGAUUAGAUACCCUGGUAGUCCACGCCGUAAACGAUGAGUGCUAAGUGUUAGGGGGUUUCCGCCCCUUAGUGCUGCAGCUAACGCAUUAAGCACUCCGCCUGGGGAGUACGGUCGCAAGACUGAAACUCAAAGGAAUUGACGGGGGCCCGCACAAGCGGUGGAGCAUGUGGUUUAAUUCGAAGCAACGCGAAGAACCUUACCAGGUCUUGACAUCCUCUGACAACCCUAGAGAUAGGGCUUUCCCUUCGGGGACAGAGUGACAGGUGGUGCAUGGUUGUCGUCAGCUCGUGUCGUGAGAUGUUGGGUUAAGUCCCGCAACGAGCGCAACCCUUGAUCUUAGUUGCCAGCAUUCAGUUGGGCACUCUAAGGUGACUGCCGGUGACAAACCGGAGGAAGGUGGGGAUGACGUCAAAUCAUCAUGCCCCUUAUGACCUGGGCUACACACGUGCUACAAUGGACAGAACAAAGGGCUGCGAGACCGCAAGGUUUAGCCAAUCCCACAAAUCUGUUCUCAGUUCGGAUCGCAGUCUGCAACUCGACUGCGUGAAGCUGGAAUCGCUAGUAAUCGCGGAUCAGC
This 1361-nucleotide ribosomal RNA is filed under the name Bacillus stratosphericus. Its description in RNAcentral is "bacterial SSU rRNA". It matches the Rfam family "Bacterial small subunit ribosomal RNA", at positions 8 to 1353 of the family's 1533-position model. Lineage: Bacteria; Bacillati; Bacillota; Bacilli; Caryophanales; Bacillaceae. The record is from RNAcentral.